Long non-coding RNA from Equus caballus (horse), 7218 nucleotides. RefSeq lists it as uncharacterized. Lineage: Eukaryota; Metazoa; Chordata; Mammalia; Perissodactyla; Equidae. The record is from RefSeq and is a predicted model, not a curated record.
AGCUCAGGUGCCAAUCUUUAAAAUGUAUAUGUAGAUAGAUAGAUAGAUAUCUCUGAUUAUUUCUUACUCCCACUAAAAAGCUUUUCCCCCUACUAAGAGGCCUUCUUUUUCUUAGAAGUAGCCUAAAAGAUUCAAGUUAUCUUCCUUUUGUUGCUAAGUUUUAUGUGAUGUGUUCUCUUUUGAUGACUUAUUUCAAAAGCCCUGUGCAUAGGUAGGGCCUUCCUUUUCUUUAUCAUCAGUUAGUUCUUACCUGGUCCCAGGUCUCUACAGUCUUAUUCUUCCCUCAGCAAAGGCUAUUGGUCCUAAUCACGAGCUCAGCUUACCUUAUUGUUCAAUCCAGACCUUGAACAGAAGAGAUUUAGGGGGCUCUAGCCUAAUGCUACAGGAUUCGUUAUCAAGUCACCUUUGCUGCUAGUCCAACUCUGACUGCUUGCCCAAGUUCUGAUUACAAAUCUGUCUCGUUCUCCAAGACCCACUUGUGCUUCAGUUUGGUUAACUGAGUUUCUGCCUUGCUUCCCUGUGGCUGGCAUCUGACAUAGUAUCUUCAACAAUCAGAGUCCUGUUUUGUUAUUACCAAGCUCCACUGUCAACCCUUCCCAGGGACUGGAAUCUGCUCCUGAACACCAGCCGAGUGGCUAAAGUUCUGUUACCAGCUGAUGGGAGUCCCUGAUGCUGACUCUCUGCCUACUUAGACUUCCAAAUUGCUUUCUUCUGGGUUCUCUAUUUCCUUUCUUUGGAGGGUACCCCACUCUGAGUAUCAGAACUCACGAUAUCAACUGUUUGAAUUUAUCUGUUGCUACACCAUUUAGAUAUCAUGCUGCUCUACACUUUCCCCCAGCACCUUGAGAGAGGACUGCCUACUCCUAACACCUUCCAUCAGGCUGUACCUGAUCUGAUGGGUGGGUCUGAUUCCAGGUACUGUGCCUCAGAAGCAGCUCCGUCAGGAAGCAGUUAACCCAACCAUGUAUCUAGAUUUUUACUUCGUCUUUCGUUAAUAGAGCUUUCUUGACUUCUAGCACUUGGUGGAAAUUAAAUAAUGUAGAAAUUUUGAGGCUAAACAUUAUUUUAGAGUGGAAAUAUUAAGUAGGAAUAUGAAUAGAAUACCAAUAUUAAGUCACAAUGUUCAUGUUAAUUCAAGUAAGGUAUUUUAAUUUGGGACUCUAUAUGGAAGACUUAAUUCACUUCCAAACAUUGAUGUCUCAGGACUUGAUGUAAUCCUACUCACAUAUGUUUCAUAUUAUUCAGUUUAAAGGGAAGGAAGAGUAACCAUUUUCUUCAAAUGGGAAACAUAACUCAAAGGAAUAAAUUUCCAAACACAUGAAAAUUAAUUGGCAUAUUCUUUGGAGAUAGAAAGAAUUUAUUUUAAUCAAUUUCAGCACCCAUGAAGAAUGAGCGCACGAGGAAGAAUAUUGUUUCUAGGCUGUGAAACAAUGUGACAGGCUCUGGCCUCAUUUUCUCUGCCUCUGUCAUCUUGACUUCCCACUAACUGGGUUUAGGGUCUCUACUGGUGUGUAUGGUACUACCACAGUCCCCAAACUGGUCAGUUCUGGAGGCUGGAGAUAACAAAGAACCUCAGCAUAGGCUGUACCCUCCUUCACUAAGUGGAGUGUCAUGUCUCUACCCUUAAGCCAACAGCCAUUCCUACAAUAUUCUUUCAAGAAACAUCUAACAUGCCAGGUUCUGAGCCAGGCACUGGGCAGAGGCAGAGCCAUGUUUUCUGUGACCGGAAGCUUAUACAAUUUGGGGGCCCUGUUUAAGAAAAAAAAUACUAAAUUACAAACCAAAAAGAGGUAUGAAAAUGAAUAGAAAAAAGAAAUCAUGACAAAUUUGUUUUUAAAAGUUGAUAAAUACCACUAAAAUGACAAAAUCUAGAACAAUCAUAUAAUAUUUUUAACUUACUGCCUAACAAUCUCUAGUACUUUUCCCCUAUUUUUUUUUGUCUGCGUACUCUUUGUUUCUUCAUAUAACAAUAAUUUUGUAAAUCUUUUUCCCAUAGAAAUAGUGGAGACUCCUCUAGCAUGGUUGAUCAAAAAUAAAUUUUUAAAUUGAAAGUUUAGAAAAAUUUCUUUCAGCCUCUCUAUUCAUUGUUAGUAAUAGCAUGUAAAUUUUUAAGAUUUGGGAAAACCCCUAUCAAGUUUCCUUCAUAGAUAAGCAGUAAGAUUUGAGGAAUUACAAAUCUUCUUGCACAGGAGCUAAUCUUAAUACUCUGAAUUAUCAUUGAUGUUCUCAUUGUAGUGGUGUCUUAUGAGUCUUAUCUUUAUUGAUUCAGUAUUUUAUGUUAAGUCAACAAGCAAUGUAAAUCUUUUAUCAGUGUAUUUAUGUGAUAACACUUUGAGAUACAGAAAACACUACAUACUCAACUGUGGGUAUUGUUUGGAACACUGCUACAGGUUUGUUCCCCCAAAACACAGGGAUGAUGAUAAAUUCAUCUGAUUCUCAUUAAAAUGGGAGAAAAGGGUAUAGUGCAUUUAUAAUUACACAAGCAACAUUGUCAAGUUCAUUCUAUACAGAACUUCUAUUUUGUUUAACAUUGACAAGAAUUAAAUUCUCCACUUAUAAUUAUACAUAUCUAAAGACUAGAAGAUUUUCCCCCAGACUAGCUUCUCGUUCCAUACAUUUCAAACCUAAUUUCUCCUCCACUACCUGUAUACUGCUAUUCUGGCCACUAUAGGACCUGUUCACAUCAUGAUACAACCUCUGGCCGCUUCGUCUUAGGGUCCUGAUACACCUGAUGUCAUGGAUGACUUAGGGGUAUUCCUGGGAGCCAUUCCUACAUUGAGAUGGCUAGCAAAAACUUAGCUAUACUCAAAAGUGACUACAAACUAUGUGAACAUUCCCACUAAACCCAAACGAUGUAUCUCCAUUUUAACUUUCCUUUAGCUGAAUCUACUUGCAGUUACUCCAACACUACACCAUGAAGGAAAAUGUGAGAAGCUCCAGUGAGGAUACUUUUACUUUGGUUGCAAGUGAAGUUAGAAUGUCUUACUUUUGCAAAUAUUGCAAUAACAUUUGACAUGUAAAGACAUUGCUAGGGCCCUCCUAGGCCCCUGUAAGUGAAAGGUCCCAAAGCUUAAACUUCAAUAGUUUCACAGGGAAUUUACUUCUGUCACAAGAGGAAAAACUAUAAAACAGACAUAAUCUCUGCCCCAGGCCUGGCCCACCUUUUUCUGGGAGUAGGGGAUGCAUGAGGUAAUACAGACAAGGAAAUAGGCUUCCAUAUUCUAUGAUUUGUCCUUACAUCAACCCUAAUAUGGACACAGUGUCCUAAUGCCGACUGCUGGACUCCUGUAUCAUGUGCCCAGAUUGACAUUUCCUUUCCACCACAUCCCCUCUCCCCUACCCUCACCCCGUGCUGUUUGCUUUUGUUUUGUUGGAAUUUUUUGGUCUUUGACCUUAUUUGUCUAUUUGUUGUUGUGGUUAUUGUAUGAGGAUCUCUGUUUAGGGUCUGAGUGGUCAGAAUUAGAGGCACACUCUACAGACAGGUGUGUGUGAUACUGAAGUCUGGCAAUUUCAGGAGCAAAAGGAAUUGUGGUUGGAUAGGCAAAGGUGGAAAUGAGAUUUGAAAAUGUGAGGGCACCCAAGACAGAUAGAAUUUGUGUGCACUUAAUUAUCAUUUUUGAAAGCCAUUUUGCGUAAUUGGUAUAACAAAAAGUAAUAACAAAAAGGAAGGAGGAUGUUUCUUUUUUUUUUUAAAUCACUUGCACAAUUGAAUGACUGAACUGUGGUAGUUUGUUUUUCUUGGUAAAAAUAAAAAUGUCCUUUAGCUAAUAUUCAUGCUGAUUAUAAUGAACAAUAAUACAAGCGAAUAAUAUGGGACUAUAUCUGUAUUUAGCAUUAGGAAGAAAGGAAGUCCUUAAAGGAGUUCUGAGAGAAACCCUAAAGAUGUACUCCAAGUUAUGGCUGCAAACAGUUUUCACAGGCCUCCCACUAUUGCUAAGUCUGUUAAGUAUUGAACCAUAUGUUUCUCUCAAGUGUAAAAAUAUGAAAUUGGAAAAUUUACUAAGAAGAAUUCUCCUGUUUCCCAUUAUAUCUGUUGCUCAGACUCCUUAUUGGAAAGUGCAUUGGCUAAUGUCCUGUGAAUCAUAUCCAUCAAUGACAUAUUGCUCAUUUUUGUUUUUUAUAGUAAUUAACUGUACUGGAACAUCAUGGUCUGGAAAAUUAUACUUCUUGUUUGUACAUGUAGCUUAAAAGGCUGUGUAAUUAUUCUGGUUAUAAAAUAUUGCAACGUACAUCUGCAGACAUGCUAGCUAUCAUGCGUUCUAUCUAAGGUUAAAAGAGAGAGAGAUAAUAUGAUAUUGGCCCUCAGUUUUACCAAUCAAAUUGACAUAGUAUUUUGUUCCAUAGUUUAGUAAUUAUUUAUAUUUACUAUCAUUUUAAUUGACAGAAGUUGGAUUAUAGUCAGUCUUCACAUUUACUUCCAAUUUUAGGGAAUGGAGCCCUGAUGUAUGCUUGUUAUAAAUAUAUCUUUUAAAGCAGUCUAUUAUAGAACUGCAAAUGAAAGUAAGUCAUACAUUUGAUUCUUCAAAAUUUUAGCGUCCUUAAUUAAUAGAUAAGGUAUUUUCAGGUAAAUCAAAAUUACUUUGGUCUAAGAUAAACAAGUCCUCUCUAAUCAAUGCAUAUUUCAUUUCUUUUGUCCAGGCGGUCUACCAGUAUGUAUAAGUAGAGGAACUUCUCAGUCUAUUUUUCUACUCUACUUACUUAAACACACUUUGCUUGUGGUGUAGGAAUCCCAGUGACUCUGAGCAAAAUUACUAAGUAGGUAAUGUUAGUCUUAGAUGCCUGCCUCUUUUUUCCUGAAGUCACCCUUGCCCAAAGGGCCCCAAUCUUAGGUACUCUAUCCUAAAUUUUUCCUUUCAGUUCCCAGUACUUCAUUCUGUAAGAUCAUGGGUGUCGUAAUUUCUUUCUGCGGUUUAAAUUUACCCGUUCUGUGUUUAUUUUCCCUAGGAUCCCAGGUUACACUAGUUCAUGUAAUUAAAAAAAAAAAAAAUCAAGGCAGAUGUAGUCAUAGGAGAGGGCUGAAAGAAUCAGGGAUCAGGGAAUGUAAGAAUCUACUAGAAAUGAUGCCCUUUCCUCAUCUAUAUUGUCUUGAUCAUUCAUUCACUUCACAGAUACAGGCAUACCUUAUUUUAUUGUACUUUGCUUUAUUCUGCUUCACAGAUAUUGCAUUUUUUUUACAAAUUGAAGGUUUGUGGCAACCCUGAGUUGAGCAAAUUUAUUGGUGCCAUUUUUCCAACAGCAUUUGGUCACUUUGUGUCUCAUUUUGACUGUUUCCUCUGAUCAUGCUUUAUGUCAUGUCUGUAUUACUUGAUGAAACACAAUGUGGUGUCUGAGAUACGGCCGUUUGAGUGGCCAGUCAGUGACAGACUUGCUUCUCACCUAUUGAAAACAAGUUGUAGCAGAGUUUGCCAGAUGUGCAUCUAAACACUGCCCUGCCUCCUUCUUCCACUCCAAUAAAAGACACAUGGCUGGCCAGCUAUACGGCAUGUCCUUGCUCCUCCUGCUAUUAGACGUGGUCAGGUGGGUAAGUUUACUUGAAUGUAAUUUGAGUAGUCUUGCCCUAUGAAAACCUCCCACACAUGCUCCUCCACGAUGGUAGCCUGGCUCCAAGAUGGAUCGCAACAAUUGACUCCUGGUAUUUAUGUCCCUGUGUAAUGCCCUCCUCUAUUGAAUAUGGCUGACGUAUGUAACUAAUAAGAUAUUGGAGAUAUGAUAGACUGUGAUUUCCAAGUCUAGGUCAUAAAAGAUAUUGCAACUUUUCUCUUACCCUUUUAGAUCAGUUUCUCUGAGGGAAGCCAGCUGCCAUGUUGUCAGGACAUUCAAACAAUUCUAUAGAGAGGUCUGUGUGGCAGAGAACUAAGGCCACCUGCCCACAACCAGCCACACUGGAAGUAAAUACUUCAGCCCUAGUUAAGCCUUCAAAUGACUUUAGCUACAACAAACAUCUAACUGCAAACUUGUGAAAGACUGAACCAGAACUGUUCAGCUAAGCCACUUCCAAAUUCCUGACCCACAGAAACUAUGAUAUGAUAAAUAUUAAAUUGUUGUUUUAUACUGCUAAGUUUGUUAUGCAGCAAUAGCUAACUGAUACAUCCAGUCAGCUGAAUGACAAUGCUUAUGGCAUUCUUGGAAGCCACCUGUAGAAGAGUACAGAGCUGUAAUCAGCUCAGGUUCCUGAAUGACUGUGUAAAGGAGAACCUUCUCCUCUAGUUUCUCCACUCCCCACAUCAACCUGGACUGUUGAGCGGGAAAUAAACUUCUUUAGAGCCAUUAUAUUUGGGCAUCUAGAUUUUACAAUAGUUUAGCCAGUCUUAACUAAUACAUAAACUUUGUAUUAUAUUUCUUUCUUACUUGAAGCCUUACGUAUAUAUGAGGAUAUUAUUCCUCUGAGCAAGGACUACUAUUGGAAUAGUUCUUUAAACACUAUCAGAAACAUUUUAUUGGUUAAAAGCUGUGUGAUUAAAUAUUCAAAGCACUUUCCCCACUUGCAAAUACUAUUUUAUUUGCCUAGAACUCCGUGUUUACUAGCAUAGUUGCAGUUGAUACUAUGGCACCCUGCCCAGAUCCCCUUUACUUACUUGAAACACCUACCCGCUGUAAGUGGAGAGAUCCUGUGAGUGGUGGCUGGUAAUGGCUUGCAGCUAACCCUUUUCUCCAGGGAAUUGCCAUCAACCAAUGGGAGCCAACUCACUCAGGAAAUCAUGCCCCCUCCAUAGAUGACCCACAACCAAUGGCCAAAUAACAUGAUGGUAUAAAAGUCCAGCCGUCUUGCCACAAAGGAUGACAGGUCUGUGUGCUGUUUAUAUCCAGAACCCUCUCCUCUGUAGAUUGGGCCAAGAUUAGACUUUACCUCAUCCUUGCUCGGCAGCUCUUUUUGCUUCUCCUUUUCCUCCCUUACAGGUUUUUCCCAAAGAGUGCUCCCUCAGUAACCCACAUUCACCCAAAUCCCUAUCUCAGAUUCUUCUUCCAAGGAAUCUGAUCUAAGACUACCUACUUCCAUGAAACUGGACAGGAGAGGUGAGAUCUUCUUCUCAGUUAUUUACAUUACUGAUAUAUUUGAUUCAUGAGUGAAGAAACUGUAUUCUCAGUCAAAAACCUUGAAAAAGACUUAAAAAGAGAAAAACAGUAGAGAAAUCUAAGAAAGCCAAAAGCUGAUCUGAAGAUAUCAAGAAAAUUGAUAAAUUCUAACAUUGAUAAAGAAAAAGAUACAACACAAACUAU